This 253-nucleotide ribosomal RNA is filed under the name uncultured bacterium. Its description in RNAcentral is "partial 16S ribosomal RNA". It matches the Rfam family "Bacterial small subunit ribosomal RNA", at positions 524 to 776 of the family's 1533-position model. The record is from RNAcentral.
UACGUAGGGUGCAAGCGUUGUCCGGAAUUAUUGGGCGUAAAGAGCUCGUAGGCGGCUUGUCGCGUCGGCUGUGAAAACCCGGAGCUCAACUCCGGGCCUGCAGUCGAUACGGGCAGACUGGAGUUCGGCAGGGGAGACUGGAAUUCCUGGUGUAGCGGUGAAAUGCGCAGAUAUCAGGAGGAACACCGGUGGCGAAGGCGGGUCUCUGGGCCGAUACUGACGCUGAGGAGCGAAAGCGUGGGGAGCGAACAGG